GCGCAGUGCAGCGGCAACAGCUCAAAUUUGAAAUCUGGCCGCAAGGUCCGAGUUGUAAUUUGUAGAGGAUGCUUUUGGCGAGGUGCCUUCCGAGUUCCCUGGAACGGGACGCCAUAGAGGGUGAGAGCCCCGUACGGUUGGACCACCGAGCCUCUGUAAAGCUCCUUCGACGAGUCGAGUAGUUUGGGAAUGCUGCUCUAAAUGGGAGGUGUACGUCUUCUAAAGCUAAAUACCGGCCAGAGACCGAUAGCGCACAAGUAGAGUGAUCGAAAGAUGAAAAGCACUUUGAAAAGAGGGUUAAAAAGUACGUGAAAUUGUUGAAAGGGAAGCAUUCAUGACCAGACUUGGGCUUGGUUGAACAUCCGGCGUUCUCGCCGGUGCACUCUGCCAGUCCAGGCCAGCAUCAGUUUGCCCCGGGGGACAAAGGCGGUGGGAAUGUGGCUCCCCUCGGGGAGUGUUAUAGCCCGCCGUGUAAUGCCCUGGGGCGGACUGAGGAACGCGCUUCGGCACGGAUGCUGGCGUAAUGGUCAUCAAUGACCCGUCUUGAAACCACGGA
Molecule: ribosomal RNA, 556 nt
Filed under: Sarocladium strictum
Lineage: Eukaryota; Fungi; Ascomycota; Sordariomycetes; Hypocreales; Sarocladiaceae
Description: partial large subunit ribosomal RNA
Rfam family: Eukaryotic large subunit ribosomal RNA
Source: RNAcentral